This is a non-coding RNA of Callorhinus ursinus (northern fur seal), 597 nucleotides long. Lineage: Eukaryota; Metazoa; Chordata; Mammalia; Carnivora; Otariidae. The record is from RefSeq and is a predicted model, not a curated record.
GCAUGCCUUCCAAAGGAGUUCUAGAAACUUCUCAGAGGACAGAGGAAAGAAACCCACCACCGUCUAAUGAGAAAGCACUGAAGUGCCUGCUUAGAAGAAAAGCUAUUUGCAUAACAGCGGAAACCCGCUGGAGGAGCCAUUCAGUGUGGAGCAUAGAUUAGCCUUCCAGAGGAGCUAAGGAGGACCAUGAGGUUGAAAACUACAUGGAGGAUGAAAACGGCACCACUGAGAGCACAGGAUGCUAGAAGAAACCUUGGGCACCAUUGGCAGCUCCCCAUGGCCCCUGACAAACCAGCCAAGCUCUUCUGCUAAUGAGGACAAACAAAUCUCUUUCUAGCUAACCGACUACACAUGGACUUUUGUGAAAUGCAGCCCAGUGCAUUCGUGACUGAUUCAGUGGAUAAUACCUUUCCAUGAGCAUGCCAACUUCAUGGACCUGGAAUUUUUUGUCUGCCAUGCACAGUACUGAAUCCUCCCACAACAGUGCCUGGUGUGUGGGAGGGGCUUAUCUGGGCCGACCCAUUGAAUGGAUGGAUGGACAUAUACUCAAUCUAAUUUCCACCUUUAUCUCCUUUGUUUCCUUUUUUUUUAAAAAAA